This 72-nucleotide transfer RNA is filed under the name Camelus bactrianus (Bactrian camel). It matches the Rfam family "tRNA". Rfam says of the family: Transfer RNA (tRNA) molecules are approximately 80 nucleotides in length. Their secondary structure includes four short double-helical elements and three loops (D, anti-codon, and T loops). Lineage: Eukaryota; Metazoa; Chordata; Mammalia; Artiodactyla; Camelidae. The record is from Rfam by way of RNAcentral. RNAcentral also lists the same sequence under 1 other name.
GUGGGUAUAGCUCAGUGGUAGAAUACAUGCUUAGCGUACAUGAGGUCCUGGGUUCAAUCCCCAGGACUCCCA